AUACAGAGGGUGCAAGCGUUAAUCGGAUUUACUGGGCGUAAAGCGCGCGUAGGUGGCUAAUUAAGUCAAAUGUGAAAUCCCCGAGCUUAACUUGGGAAUUGCAUUCGAUACUGGUUAGCUAGAGUAUGGGAGAGGAUGGUAGAAUUCCAGGUGUAGCGGUGAACUGCGUAGAGAUCUGGAGGAAUACCGAUGGCGAAGGCAGCCAUCUGGCCUAAUACUGACACUGAGUUGCGAAAGCAUGGGGAGCAAACAGGAUUAGAUACCCUGGUAGUCCAUGCCGUAAACGAUGUCUACUAGCCGUCGGGGCCCUUGAGGCUUUAGUGGCGCAGCUAACGCGAUAAGUAGACCGCCUGGGGAGUACGGUCGCAAGACUAAAACUCAAAUGAAUUGGCGGGG
RNAcentral lists this ribosomal RNA (396 nucleotides) under uncultured bacterium. Its description in RNAcentral is "partial 16S ribosomal RNA". It matches the Rfam family "Bacterial small subunit ribosomal RNA", at positions 523 to 918 of the family's 1533-position model. The record is from RNAcentral.